This 1372-nucleotide ribosomal RNA is filed under the name uncultured bacterium. Its description in RNAcentral is "bacterial SSU rRNA". It matches the Rfam family "Bacterial small subunit ribosomal RNA", at positions 28 to 1381 of the family's 1533-position model. The record is from RNAcentral.
GAUGAACGCUAGCGGCGUGCCUAAUACAUGCAAGUCGAGCGAACGGACGAGAAGCUUGCUUCUCUGAUGUUAGCGGCGGACGGGUGAGUAACACGUGGAUAACCUACCUAUAAGACUGGGAUAACUUCGGGAAACCGGAGCUAAUACCGGAUAAUAUUUUGAACCGCAUGGUUCAAAAGUGAAAGACGGUCUUGCUGUCACUUAUAGAUGGAUCCGCGCUGCAUUAGCUAGUUGGUAAGGUAACGGCUUACCAAGGCAACGAUGCAUAGCCGACCUGAGAGGGUGAUCGGCCACACUGGAACUGAGACACGGUCCAGACUCCUACGGGAGGCAGCAGUAGGGAAUCUUCCGCAAUGGGCGAAAGCCUGACGGAGCAACGCCGCGUGAGUGAUGAAGGUCUUCGGAUCGUAAAACUCUGUUAUUAGGGAAGAACAUAUGUGUAAGUAACUGUGCACAUCUUGACGGUACCUAAUCAGAAAGCCACGGCUAACUACGUGCCAGCAGCCGCGGUAAUACGUAGGUGGCAAGCGUUAUCCGGAAUUAUUGGGCGUAAAGCGCGCGUAGGCGGUUUUUUAAGUCUGAUGUGAAAGCCCACGGCUCAACCGUGGAGGGUCAUUGGAAACUGGAAAACUUGAGUGCAGAAGAGGAAAGUGGAAUUCCAUGUGUAGCGGUGAAAUGCGCAGAGAUAUGGAGGAACACCAGUGGCGAAGGCGACUUUCUGGUCUGUAACUGACGCUGAUGUGCGAAAGCGUGGGGAUCAAACAGGAUUAGAUACCCUGGUAGUCCACGCCGUAAACGAUGAGUGCUAAGUGUUAGGGGGUUUCCGCCCCUUAGUGCUGCAGCUAACGCAUUAAGCACUCCGCCUGGGGAGUACGACCGCAAGGUUGAAACUCAAAGGAAUUGACGGGGACCCGCACAAGCGGUGGAGCAUGUGGUUUAAUUCGAAGCAACGCGAAGAACCUUACCAAAUCUUGACAUCCUUUGACAACUCUAGAGAUAGAGCCUUCCCCUUCGGGGGACAAAGUGACAGGUGGUGCAUGGUUGUCGUCAGCUCGUGUCGUGAGAUGUUGGGUUAAGUCCCGCAACGAGCGCAACCCUUAAGCUUAGUUGCCAUCAUUAAGUUGGGCACUCUAAGUUGACUGCCGGUGACAAACCGGAGGAAGGUGGGGAUGACGUCAAAUCAUCAUGCCCCUUAUGAUUUGGGCUACACACGUGCUACAAUGGACAAUACAAAGGGCAGCGAAACCGCGAGGUCAAGCAAAUCCCAUAAAGUUGUUCUCAGUUCGGAUUGUAGUCUGCAACUCGACUACAUGAAGCUGGAAUCGCUAGUAAUCGUAGAUCAGCAUGCUACGGUGAAUACGUUCCCGGGUCU